AGAUGCCUCUGGCUGCAGAGACCUGAGGGCGAGAGGCGCUCCGAGCUCAGGCUGGUCCGGGAGGCCGGCGUGGGCGCGCACCUCUGCACAGUCCGGGCCUGGAGCCUCUAUAUAGGGCCUCAGAGGAAACCGAAAGGCCUCCGGGAGGAAACCUGGGUGCGCAGUGGGUCGGCCCGGGGAUUUAUGUGCUCGCCAAAAACAAUAGCGAUCCCGCCCGACUCUUGCUGGGCCCUGGCGCGGCUCCCGUGGGAGGGGGCCGGCCGCGCAGCCGCUGACCUCCGGCUCCCAAGCCGGGCCGCCGUCGCCGCGCGCUUCCCCCGGGCAGCGCCGGGACCCGCCCGAACCGCGCCCCCACCCGCAUCGCUCGGCCCGGGUCCAGGGAACUAGGCACAGACAAAGGUGCCCGCUGUCCACUUCCUCAGCUCGUGCGGGGGCCCCGACCGAGCCCUGGGACUCCCCGGGGCCAGUCUUCUCGCAGUAACUGCUACGUUUUACCUGUACCUUUGCGGGACACUUGGCGUUUUCCUACCUGGGAAUCACGUCUUUCGCUGAUAAACCAAGGAGCAAGUGGGAUAUGAUUUUAAACCACUUAGUAAUCGUGAGGCAGCACCCAGGCUACACAAAGUUAGGAGAAAGCAGUUUGUAGUUCCACUGCUGAUGAGACUAUUGAUCAUUUUAUAUACUGCACCCAUGAAAAAUUUUUAAAGAAAAUUUAUUUGUAUGAUUAUGCAAGCAGAGUCACGUUUGGUGGUUGAUAGGCGUUGGGUUUUAUUCACUCUUCUGUGUAGUCGAUAACCGAAAUGUCUUGCUUCCCACAAGAAAAUGGCUAUUUCACUAACAUAUCCCUCUGUGCUUUCUCAUAGUUACUUUCCAAAGAUAUUUUAUUCUAAAGCGCCAAAAUGAACAAUGUAAGACAUGGAUUAACGUCGGGAGG
This 934-nucleotide long non-coding RNA is filed under the name Homo sapiens (human). RNAcentral describes it as "non-protein coding lnc-ADPGK-4:1". Lineage: Eukaryota; Metazoa; Chordata; Mammalia; Primates; Hominidae. The record is from RNAcentral.